RNAcentral lists this ribosomal RNA (452 nucleotides) under uncultured bacterium. RNAcentral describes it as "partial 16S ribosomal RNA". It matches the Rfam family "Bacterial small subunit ribosomal RNA", at positions 28 to 507 of the family's 1533-position model. The record is from RNAcentral.
GAUGAACGCUGGUGGCGUGCCUAACACAUGCAAGUCGAGCGAUUCUCUUCGGAGAAGAGCGGCGGACGGGUGAGUAACGCGUGGGUAACCUGCCCUGUACGCACGGAUAACAUACCGAAAGGUAUGCUAAUACGAGAUAACAUGCUUUUAUCGCAUGGUAGAAGUAUCAAAGCUUUUGCGGUACAGGAUGGACCCGCGUCUGAUUAGCUAGUUGGUGAGGUAACGGCUCACCAAGGCGACGAUCAGUAGCCGACCUGAGAGGGUGAUCGGCCACAUUGGAACUGAGACACGGUCCAAACUACUACGGGAGGCAGCAGUGGGGAAUAUUGCACAAUGGGCGAAAGCCUGAUGCAGCAACGCCGCGUGAGCGAUGAAGGCCUUCGGGUCGUAAAGCUCUGUCCUCAAGGAAGAUAAUGACGGUACUUGAGGAGGAAGCCCCGGCUAACUACGUG